GAGUGGUGAUUGACAUGUAUGGGUGCGUUGGAUCACUGCUUGGGUAGUGACAACGUUUCUUGCUUGUCUCUUCAGUUGUUGGCAAAAGGCACUAUUAGCCUUGGCCGAAUGUUGUUUUCCUGUGCUAUAUACCCAUUACAAGGGCAUUCAAUUUGCUCAAUUGCAUUUGUUUGCUUCGUGUUACUUCUCUUCGGAUUUUGGCAUGUAGUGAACAUUAAGGCAUUUAUUGUGUUCCACUUUUCAUGCAUGCACAUGCUUGGAUUGUUGGGCCAUGAUCCUUGCUCGAUCUCUCGGUUGCGGAAUACCUAAUGGGCACGAGGCACUAGUCUCUAUUAGGCCCUCAUUCAGUGUUUAACGCUACGUGCGAAAGACGAUUGUGGCCGUUUUGAUUAGGUCUUUAUGGCUUGGCUCAUACGGUGCCCAAUGUCGAUGAUGAAUGCUACCUGGUUGAUCCUGCCAGUAGUCAUAUGCUUGUCUCAAAGAUUAA
Molecule: unclassified non-coding RNA, 487 nt
Filed under: Rhoogeton cyclophyllus
Lineage: Eukaryota; Viridiplantae; Streptophyta; Magnoliopsida; Lamiales; Gesneriaceae
Description: partial contains external transcribed spacer and 18S ribosomal RNA
Rfam family: Eukaryotic small subunit ribosomal RNA (bases 441-487)
Source: RNAcentral